AACGGCCAUACCAUGUUGUAUAUACUGGUUCUCAUUAGAUCACCGAAGUCAAGCAUCAUUGGGCGCGGUCAGUACUUGGGUGGGGGACCGCCUGGGAACACCGCGUUC
RNAcentral lists this ribosomal RNA (108 nucleotides) under Caerostris darwini. Lineage: Eukaryota; Metazoa; Arthropoda; Arachnida; Araneae; Araneidae. The record is from RNAcentral.